GGGGGCCGUUUCUACUGUCAGAGAUGCUGCCACUCGUCUCACAGUGAACCGGUCUCUUU
Molecule: microRNA precursor, 59 nt
Filed under: Danio rerio (zebrafish)
Lineage: Eukaryota; Metazoa; Chordata; Actinopteri; Cypriniformes; Danionidae
Also listed under: 1 other name
Description: Dre-Mir-128-P1_pre stem-loop
Rfam family: mir-128 microRNA precursor family
Source: RNAcentral